CGGGGGCCAGCUCUUCGGAGACACGUUCCUCAGACUGAAGGGCAAGGUUCCACGGUAAUGGGAAAGCAAAAUGAUUCAAAUUCCAGAUCUUUGCCAUCACCAUGAGAAGAAUAUACGCUGGCUAGCUACUGGCUCCAAAAGGAGAAUGGAGAAUACGUAAAGCCAGAACCACCCCAGCAAACCCAAAGAUGAAUGAUCAUCUUAAGAGUUUGGUGCUGUUAUUGCCCUUGCCUGACUGGGCCAGUUGUCAUGUCUGCAUUCCUUCCUGUGUAAGUCAGCUGAAGACUUGAAUAGAACAAAAGACAGACCUCCCCCAAGUAAGAGGGAAUUCUGCCUUCGACUUGAACUGCAGCAUUGACUCUUCCCUGAGUCUCCAGCCUCCUGGCCCACCCUGCAGAUUUUGGACUUGUUAACCUCCAUAAUUAGAACUGCAGCUGGAAGACAAGUUGACAGUCAUAUGUCCCACUUCAAUAACUAAUCCAUAUCAUGGAUUUUUCUAGGUGACUCUUCUACAUUGAGGCUGUAAAAUCUGUAAACUCCUUUCCAUGAAGAAUCAUACCUUACUUAUAUAUUUGGAAUGCACAUAGCUGCAGAAAUCAACUCUUCCUUGUCAUCAGUGACCCCAACCCUCAGUAAUGUCUCUUUUUCCUAACUGGAAAGUUGCUUGGAGGAUCCAAGGAGCUCAGGUACAAGGAGAGUGUCUGGCACAACAUUAGUACUAUGUGAGCUUUAGCACUAUGGGUUUCAUUUAUAGAAACUCACAAUGUCUGUAAUGCACAGAAAGGUUAUGCACUCAAGGUUACCUGGUGGGUAAGUGGCAAAGGGGAAUGGAGACUUGGGCCUUUAACUCUUCAUCAGAAUUUGUAACAGAGCUCUCUAAAUGAUUGCAUCUGUCCCACGGUCCCUGUGACCCUGGCUGUCUGGCUAAUGAAAUAUGCAUAAAGGACACUCUGGAAAAUUAGACCAUUUAUUAUUAGCUAGAGCUUAGUUCUAGCUCUUUGAGAAAAAAAAAAUGAUUUUCUAGUUUAAGUUCUAAAUUAAAAUUAGAUAAGCAAGUUUCUUGGUCCUUUACUUUGA
Non-coding RNA from Kogia breviceps (pygmy sperm whale), 1077 nucleotides. The record is from RefSeq and is a predicted model, not a curated record. Lineage: Eukaryota; Metazoa; Chordata; Mammalia; Artiodactyla; Physeteridae.